AUCCCCCUGAGCGCGGGAUUGGGAGCUAUCCAGGGCAAGUCCCGAAGUGUACGGAGGUCGGACUCCUAAGAAGGUAUAAGUAGUAACGCACAAUGACUGCGCAAGGUACGCUCACUAUUGGCAACUCCCUCCCGACUGCUUUACUGUUAGUACACUCCCCACUCACCGGAAAACUAACUUGACCGUCGGAGCGCCCUCGGGGACUACCUCGGGGACCCUGUUAGUUCACUCUCUCGUUUUUCUUUCAGGCUUAGGACGCGCUCUUUCCAUCAGCUCGCCGAGCUCAUCAGGUCAGCUCGGUCCGAGGAAGUUCCGUGCUUCUUCAGUUGGCGCCGUCUGUGGGAACCGAAGGUACGAGUAUUUGCGUUGAUGGCGAGAACGCGUUCCAAGCGAACCGUGGAUAACACUGACCCCGGAGCCGGUGAGGGGUCCCGGCGAAUGGAGAUCGAGACGGCCCGAGGCGCCGGGGGCUCGGCCCUUUCAGGGGAACGAAGACAGCAGAUCUAUCAGUUUGUAACCGAGAACCUCCCCAUGCUGGAAGACAUAAUCCGGCAGGCGAAGGAGGGGGGUGAGGCCGGGGGUGCGCAGACCUCUAAGGCGAAGGGGAAGGAGAGGGAGUCGCUCCCCAUUCCCUCGGAGGACGAGUCACGGGACCAGCCCCCCAGGAGGAAACGACCGCGGACUCCUCCCAGGCCGCGGGCCUCGGUGGUCGGGGACAGUGAGAGAUAUUCUCGCGACCGGUCUGCUGGGGGCCGACCGAGGAAUCCCUCCUCGUGGAAGCUUGCGCGGAACAAGCCGGAGCGCUCCCCCGCCCGAUCUAUCAAGAGCCGGCCGCGGGACCCUCCCCAAUGGCAGCCCGUCCAGGACGAGCUCGAGCAGAUCCUGCGUCCGCAACUGUACAAGGACAACUACGCAGCCUCGCCCUUCACCCGAGAGAUAGAGGACUACCCGUUACCUCGGAGGUUUAAAAUCCCGAACAUCGAACUGUACGAUGGUUCGACUGAUCCGGAAGACCACCUUUCGGUCUUCCUGACGCACAUGCGUCUACAAACCGCCGCGGAUGCACUCCGUUGCAAGACCUUCCCCAUGUUUCUGAAGGGUAAGGCCCGGCUCUGGUUCCAGGGCCUGGCACCAGGGUCUAUCCGGAGUUUCACCGAGCUGGCCAGACAGUUCGCCGCCCAGUUCGUCUCCUCGAAGACUUACUCGAAAAACGCGGCUCACCUGAUGGCCAUCAAGCAGAAGCCGGACGAGUCCCUGAAGAAUUUCAUGACUCGCUUCAACACAGAGAGCCUGCAGAUCAGGGACAAGGAUGAAAAGGUGGUCAUGACUGCCUUCAUGAACGGGCUAAGGGUAGAGGAACUCUACUACGAGCUUGCUGAACAGCCCCCCAAAAAUCUGGAAGAGCUCUUGACCCGGGCUCACGCCGCCGCCAACGCAGAGGAGGCCGUCCGCCUGAAACGAGAGUCAGAUCGGGAACUCGGGAUCGAAGAGGACGGGGAAACCCCCCUGAAACCAAGGACGGCCAAGCCAGGAAGAACGUCUUCGAUCGCCUCUUUAAGGAUAAAGCCCCCGCUCAACCGCCACUCCCGGAAAAAGGUUAUACACCCCUGACUCGGCCAAGGGCACAGAUCCUGGCUGUGAUGGAGGCAGAGGGUCUAGGAGGACGGCCGCCCAAGCUGGGGACGCCCCGGAAUAAAAGGAACCAGGACCGGUACUGUGCCUUCCACCGUGAUGUAGGGCAUGAUACGGAGGGAUGCUGGGCCUUGCGGAAGGAGAUUGAAGACCUAAUUCAGCGUGAUUUCUUGGGGCGGUUUGUGCAGCCAGGUCGGCCGGGCCAGGAGCGCGGACGUGCCUACCGCAAAGAGAGGGGCGAAGGCUACCGCCGAAACCGUCCUGAGCGGCGUGACGCGGCCCGAGGCCACUCCCCCGACCAGGGCACUCAGAACUUGGCAGGGGUUAUAAACACCAUAGCUGGGGGUCCCACGGGAGGAGACAGCCAUACAGCCCGGAAGAACAGGCGACCUCCCCCAGACGGAGAUGAUUCACUGAAGCGUCUGCGCAUGGACGAGGAGAUCACCUUCGGACCGAGGGACGCGGUUCCCUUGGCAUCCGGAAAUCAUGAGGCCAUCGUAAUAGACGUCGUUACCAAUAAUUAUCGGGUGAAGAAAGUAUACGUCGAUCAGGGAAAUGCAGUGGACAUCCUGUUUUACAGGGUGUUCAAGGAGCUCGGCCUAAAGGACGGACAGCUAACCUCUGUUCGGACACCUCUAGUAGGCUUUACCGGACCGCCCAUCAAUCCGGAGGGGAUGAUCACCCUGAUGGUCACAAUAGGUCAGGCACCCAAAUGCAGGACCAUCCCUGUCAAUUUCGUGGUGGUCAAACAGCCAUCCCCGUACAACAUAUUCCUAGGUCGGCCCGCUUUGAAUGCCCUCCGAGCGAUUCCCUCAUCGCUCCACCUCAGCGUCAAAUUCCCCACCCCGGGAGGAAUUGCCGAGGUGUAUGGAGAUCCGGAGGUGGCCCGAGCUUGUUACCUAACCAUGCUCCGGGGACACGAGAAGGUGGUCGCCCAGACGACCAGCUUGGAGCCUUACAUCCCGGGGGAGGAGGAUCGGCAGCUGGACACUCAGGAUGAGAUCGAGGAGUUCCCAUUGAAGGAGGACAGGCCUGACCAAAUAAUCCGCAUCGGUGCGUCGCUACAACCCAAAGAGAAGGAUGACCUGAAGGCCUUCCUAAGGGAGUACGCCCAGGUUUUCGCUUGGACGGUAGAGGACAUGCUUGGGAUUCCGACUGACCUGGCCGUCCACCACCUCAACAUAGACCCCCGCUCUAAGCCAGUGAAGCAGAAGAAGAGGAACUUCGCUCCAGAGAGAAAUGAGGUGAUCAGGAAGGAGGUCGGAAAGCUGCUGGAAUCCAAAAUCAUCAUGGAGGUCUACUACCCCACCUGACUAGCCAACCCUGUUCUAGUAAAGAAGGAGGACCAGUCCUGGAGGAUGUGCGUUGACUUUACAGAUCUCAAUAAGGCCUGCCCGAAGGAUUGCUUCCCCUCACCGAGGAUCGACAGGUUAGUAGAUGCUACUGUUGGUUUUGACGUUUUGUGUUUUCUGGAUACCUUUAAGGGAUACCACCAGAUAGAGAUGGCCGAGUAGGAUCGGGAAAAGACUUCGUUCAUCACCGAGGAAGGGACCUACUGCUACCGGACGAUGCCAUUCGGGCUAAAGAACGCUGGAGCUACUUACCAGCGCUUGGUCAAGAAAUUAUUUCAGAACCAGAUCGGCAGGAACAUGGAGGUCUACGUGGACGACAUGAUCGUCAAGAGCCGAGCAGGACCACAGCUCGUCCCCGACCUGAGGGAGAUCCUGAACAUCCUCUGAGAAAGCCGGAUGCGGUUGAACCCGAAGAAGUGCACCUUCGGAGUUAGGUCGGGCCGGUUCCUCGGUUUCUUGGUCUCCCGAGAAGGGAUCCGGGCCAACCCCGAAAAACUCUAGCCCAUCAUGGACAUGGCCACUCCACGAAAUGUGAAAGAGAUCCAGCGACUCACGGUAAGGAUGGCCGCCCUGAAUAGGUUCCUCUCACGGUCCGCGGUAAGGGGGCUCCCCUUCUUCCGAAUCCUAAAAGCGCCCAAGGAUUUUCAGUGGACCGAGGAGUGCCAGAAGGCCUUCACCGACCUGAAGGCGUAUCUGGCCGAGCUGCCCACCCUGACAGCCCCGGAGCAGGGAGAAACCUUGUUCCUGUACUUGUCCGCUUGCAACGAGGCCGUCAGCGCGAUUUUGGUGCGGGAAGACGGGGGGGCUCAGAGGCCAAUAUAUUAUGUUAGCCGCGCCUUACAAGGUCCGGAAAUGCGGUAUACGCCGGCAGAGAAGCUGGUCCUCGCCCUGGUACAUGCUGCCCGGAAGCUUCGACCAUACUUCCAGACCCACAGCAUUGUGGUCAGGACCGAUCAGCCCUUGCGACAGAUACUCACAAAACCUGAGGUUUCGGGUAGGAUGACUAAGUGGGCCGUCGAGCUCGCCGAGCACGACAUCGGCUACCAGCCCAGCACCGCUAUCAAAGCCCAGGCCCUAGCGGACUUCCUCGCCGAAGGAGCCAGUCUGUCCACAACUGAGCCGAGCUCCCUGCCCGAGGAGGCCUGGUCGGAAGAGCCUUGGGUACUGUUCGUGGACGGGGCCUCAAGCAAGGAGGGAAGCCGAACUGGCCUGCUACUCACCUCGCCCACAGGGGAAGAGCUGACCUACGCGCUCAGGUUCGACUUCCCGGCAUCCAAUAACGAGGCCGAGUACGAGGCCCUAUUGACAGGGUUGCGGAUAGCCCACCAGAUGGGUGUAACCGCGAUCAAGGUCAGGAGCGAUUCUCAGCUCGUAGUCAACCAAAUCCGCGGGGAGUACGAAACUAAGGAAGACGUCAUGAAGAGAUACUUGGCCAAGGUACGAGAGGCGAGAGCCCUGUUUGACAUUUUCGAGAUCGAGCGGGUGCCGAGGUCACAGAACAAGCGGGCGGACGCCCUGUCAAAAUUGGCAUCCUCCUCGUUUGCCCACAUUUGCAAGGAGGUCCUAGUCGAGGUGGUCAAGCAAAAAAGCGUUGAUCAGGUUCAGGUCCUGGCCAUAGACAGCCCGGCCUCAUGGAUGACCCCCAUCGCAGAUUUUCUCAGAUCGGGAAACCUCCCCGCCAACAAAAUCGAAGUCCGCCGACUCCAUCUCAGAGCUGCUAAGUACGCCUACGUCGAGGGGACCCUCUACAGGAGGUCUUAUUCAUCCCCCUGGCUAAAGUGCGUAACUCCUGAAGAGGGCGAUUACGUCCUCCGUGAAGUCCACGAAGGAUUAUGCGCGGCGCAUGUGGGGUCCCGGGUACUGGCCAAAAAGUGCCUUCUCUUGGGCUACUAUUGGCCCUCGAUUUUCCAAGAUGCGGCGGCUCUGGUUCAGAAAUGCCGAGCCUGUCAGGUGCACGCCCCGCUGCGCCACCAACCCACUCGGGAGAUGGUCCACAUCCACAGUCCUUGGCCCUUUGCCCAGUGGGGAUAGACCUCCUGGGUCCCUUCCCCCGAGCUUCGGGUAGGUACGAACACCUCGUGGUGGCCAUCGACUAUUUCACGAAGUGGAUGGAGGCCGAGCUCCUGGCCACUAUCUCCGGAAGGGCAAUUCAGAAGUUCUUCUGGAAACACAUAAUUUGUCGCUUCGGGAUCCCGCAUGUCCUGAUAUCCGACAACGGGCGACAGUUUGCUGAAAAUCCCUUCAAAAGCUGGUGCGCAGAGCUCGGGAUUAACCAGCACUUCACCUCGGUCGGACACCCCCAGGCCAAUGGUCAGGUGGAAAAUGUUAAACGAACCAUUCUGCAGGGGCUAAAGACUAGACUGGAACUAGCCCAGUCUAACUGGCUAGACGAACUACCCAGCGUCCUCUGGGCUUACCGCACUACACCGAGGACGGCCACCCACGAGACCCCGUUUUCCCUGACUUACUGGGCGGAGGCGGUGGUGCCCGCGGAGGUCGGCCUCCCCUCGCCCCGAACACAAAACUUCGUUGCGACAGCCAACGAGGAAGAUCUGAGGUGCAACUUGGACCUGCUGGAGGCCAAGCGGGAGGAGGCGGCGAUACGAAUGGCUAAGUGCAAAAGCCAGCUCGCCCGUUACCACAACGCGAGGGUACGGAGUACUCAGUACAAGCCUGGAGACCUCGUCCUGAGAAAGAACUCAGUCAGCCGAGUUCAGAGCUCCAACAAGCUAGAUCCAAACUGGGAAGAGCCGUACACGGUCUUAGAGAUAAGUCGGGUUGGGUACUGUAAGCUUGCGAGAUUAGACGGGGUAGAGGUACCCCGCACUUGGCACUUCUCGAAUUUGCGGUUAUUCGUAGGAUAGGUUUGUCCAGGGUAUCUUAUUGUAUUCUUUGGAAUUUUAGUACCAUUUCAUCAUUAAAUAAAUGCUCAGUUUCCUUGUUUUAGAUCCCUUCUCACUAUCAAUUCCGUUUAACCUUUCACCUCUACACUAGCACACUCAGAUCAAGCUAAGUGUCCUAGCGGGGGGCUGGGGGUGAGAAAUCGUAACGGGUGAAAGGCUUUUUCAAGUUUGAGGAAUCGACGCUAGACCCGGGAGGUCGGCAUAAUUACCUUUGAAAAUGUUUGGGCGUUCGACCCAGGAGGUCGGCGACCAGGGGACAAGUCGAAAUAAUGAGUCGACGGAAGGCCUUCAAGGUCUGGGACGUGAUGCUCGACCCAAGGGGUCGGCAGGACCGCCUCUGGAACUUUGCCGCUCGACCCAGGAGGUCGGCGCAACUCAAAAACCUUGGGGCUCGAUGCUCGACCCAAGAGGCCGGCACGCCGUUUCAUUAAAUCGGGUUUGACGUUCGACCCUAGAGGUUGGCGUAGCUUGAAGCCUAGAUGUUUUGUGUUCGGCCUUGGAGGUCGGCGCAUCACUCUGGUUAUUUGGAAUUCGACUGCCAAAUCAGCCUGAUGGCUUGAUGGUUGGGUGUCCCUGACAACUUAGUUGUUAGUUUAAAGGGCGAUAGAUGCUCGAUCCAAGAGGUCGGCAUGCCGCCUUGGAAGAUCUAUUUGGCGCUCGAUCCGGGAGGUCGGUGUUCCUUUUCGGUCACUAGAGUUUGCCGUUAGCAGGGAAUGGAAAGACAAAUCAGACAGUUUCAUUUAAAAACUUCAUCUCAUAUAUACAUUCAGACCCUAUCUAUUACAAGGCCUACCGAGCUAUACAAGGAAAGGGGAACCUAGCUACGCCUUCUUCUUGCUGGCGAUCUGCUCGAGGAGGAAGUUGAAGGUACACCUUAAGCAUGUUGAGAGGUGGGAGCUGAAGGUACACCUUAAGCAUGUUGGGGGGGCGUGUGGAGAAGGAUGUUAAAAAGGAUCUGUGGAGAUCAUGAGUUGCGGGGCAUGGUCACAUCCUUAUAAGAGGAUGGAAAGGGUUUCUGGAGUGACCGCUGCCCUAGGCUACAGGCUCCUUCCCGGAAGCUCUGCCAGGAGUCUCCUCCUCCUCCAGGGGAAGCUCCGCCAGCUCGGCCCCCACGUCGCUCCUUCCCAUCAGGUCCAUCAGGGCAUGCCCCUUGCAGUACCCAUCGAAGAGCCAGUCCAGCUUCCCCUCGGCCGCCGAAUUGUAGUCCUUGAAAUCCACCAAGUUGAAGCCGGGUGGGUUGAGGCUCUUCACCUUGUCCAGGGCACGCGUGGCGCCGACCUGGAGGAUGGGCUGGUUGAGGAGGGCCACGUCCUCGGCGAACUGAUCGGAAGAGAUGAAAUCCCGGACAGCCUUCUUGCGCUCCCGGCUAACAGUGCCGGAGAGCUCAAUGGCGUGCUCCUCCAUCAGCUUCGCCACGCCCUUCUUCUCUUGGUCCAACUCGGACCGGGUGGAGACGAGCUGGACCUGGGACCCCUCCAGCUCCUUCUCAGCCUUGCCCAGCUUGGCCUUAAGGGAGUCUACCUCCUUAAGGGCCUUGGCGAGCUUCUGCUCAGCCUCCCGAUUCUUCUUUUGCAUCUUCUCCAAGUCGGGAGACAACUCGGAGAAAAGCGGGCCACCAGGGCAGCACCGGCGGCGUUGGCCUGAAGAAAUGAGAGUAAGAGUCAGCAUAUUACAAACCCCAUUCAGAGAAAGAACAGGGACCCAAGGGGCCUAAAAGGGAGAGGGCUUACUUGGGUCUGGGCGAUGUAGUACAUGUCCUGGAGCUCGGACGGGCUGGCCAGCUCCAUGCACUUCUUGUCGCGUGGAAGGACUGAGCCCGUGACCAGCUCGCGAGCCACCACGGGAAAUUGGGCUCAGUCAUUGAUGGAGAGCUCCCAAGACAGGCAGAAGUGCCGGGGAUCGUGCAUCGUGGGGGCCUGCCCCGGCUUCAUGGGGGCCACGUGGGGGAAAUGCCACAAGCUCGGGGGGGCGCUCUCCUGGGCGUACUCCUCUGCAGAGCCAACCCCCAAGUGGACAGGGACCCCCGAAGUCAGCUGGAGAGGGCGCUGUGCUGAGGCCUGCGUCGGCUUCUUGCCGGGCUGAGAAGGCUCGUCCUCUCGGCCCCUCUUCUGCCCCGUCGCCUUCUUUUUGCCGGCGGUCUGCUUGGAGGGGGACUGAGAUUGGGAGGCCUCCUUCUGGGGGGCCGAGCUGCCCCCAGGUGCCGCAAAGCCUCGGGGGCCUUCUUCGCCGUCUCCUGCUGCGUGGAAGGGUCGGCCACCUCGGUUGGCGCGCCCAGUAGCCUUGAGAGCUUCCUCACUGCAGCAAAACACUGUCAGGUCAGUAAAAAAGGUCAGUAACAGAUGGGAAGAUGAAGCAACAGAUAACAAAGGAACAUGUGCAGUAUUACAGGUAUCUUGGUCGGCGGGGGAGAACGCCACUUCUCCAGGGGACCCGGACAACGUCCCCAACAGCCCGGCCGCGGAAAUCUGCUCGGUGGAGAACUUGGCUGCGUACAGUUUCACCGCAGAGCCCAGCAGCUGGCCGAAGGCCUCAGGGUCCAGGUCCUCUGGACAGGGGUCAUCCCCGACCCCCCAACCUUCCACGCGUUGGGAGAAAAAUGGGUGGUCCUAACGAAAAAGAAGUCCCCCUUCUAGUUGUUUACGGAAGAGGGGACCCCGAAGAGAAGAUCCUGGGUGCCCUUACCGCCGCGAUUGCUGGCGGACCGGCGGGAGAAAUAGUACCACCCAGGGAGAGAAGCCUUGAGGGCAUAGGAAGCACGGAAGAGAGAGAGAGAGAGUAGGGGAUGGAGCAGAUCUGACAGUAGAUCAGGAAUCCGAUGAUGAUCCUGAUCGAGUUAAGGUGGACCUGGGUGAUCCUGAGCCCCCAGUAGCUCAGGAUCUCGGCCAGGGCUGGAGGAAUGGGGAGUCGGAGCCCCGCGACCAGUUGCUCUUUGUAAAUGGCUACAAAGCCCGGGGGAGGUCGGCAGGCUCGAACGGUGGGUCCGGCGGCUCGCGGCUCGAAGGCCGGAGGGAUGGAGAAAGAGGCGGCCAGCUCGGCCACUGCCCCGGGUGAGAGGGUGACCUCCUCCCGGUCGGGGUGAUCGUAGUUAAACUCAGGGUCAUCCCCCUGCUCGGAAGCAGGGGUCCCCUCGGAGGAGUCCCUGUCCUCCCCAACUCCCCCCUGGGCUCCGCCAGGGGAGUUAUGUGGAGACUUGGGGGAGGGGAUGGAAGUGGCUUGCUGCUCGAUGAGGGCAUCGAGCUCGGCCACCUCCUCUAGGAGUCGGGCAGAAGGAGAAUGGGCGGAUGGAGAGCUCAUGAUGUCAAUAGGCUCUAACAAGUCAGGAAUGGAGAAAUUGGGAUUGGAAGAAGAAGAAGAAGGAGGAGGAGGAGAAGAUGAAGAUGAAGACGAUGAAGAUGAGGACGAGGAGGAGAUGAAGAUUCUGGGGGCUCUACGACAGACCGGAAUCUGGGAUGCGGUGGAAGUGACACCGGAAUGGUCCGACAUAAAAUGCAGAAGGUGGCCAAAGGAGAAAAGGAAACAUGAAAGAGGAGGGGAGAGAACUUACUGAUGAUCGAAGUGAAAAAAGGAUGGAGAAGUCGCCGAAAUCUGGGUGCUGGAAGCCGGAAGCCUUGUUGUUGGAAAAUUGAAAAUGCACGAAGGAAGGAAAAAUGGCAAAUAGAGUCUGAGAGAGUUUGGGAGUCCCUAUUUAUGGAAGACGAAAGGGGGGGAAAACGGUUGCUUGAAUUUGAACCGUCCCAUAUGAACGCAUUCAAGAGCGGUACGGAGAUCGAGGGGACGCGACAACUAAAAGGACGUGGACGCCACUUCCCAAUGUCAGCACUGCACCGGAGGUGACCGCAGCAGAGCAGUGCGAUGAUGGGCUUCCACGUGGCAAGGAAAUAGAUCAGGUCUGCCUGGGAGCCUGACCUAAUCUAGGGGGCUAGUGCAGAGGCCCCGUCCAGCGCCUGUACACGUGGCAGCCCAGGGCGAUCCGAGCUGGGCUUGGACCCCGGGCCCAUGGGGAACCAGCCCAGGUCACGCGGCGGCUAGGGCUCCGUGGGGCUCCCGAGAGCUACCCCGCAGAGGGCGGGAAGAAUCCCCCUCAGCGCGGGAUUGGGAGCUAUUCAGGGCAAGUCUCGAAGCGUACGGAGGUCGGACUCCUAAGAAGGUAUAAGUAGUAACGCACAAUGACUGCGCAAGGUACGCUCACUAUUGGCAACUCCCUCCCGACUGCUUUACUGUUAGUACACUCCCCACUCACAGGAAAACUAACUUGACCGUCGGAGCGCCCUCGGGGACUACCUCGGGGCCCCUGUUAGUUCACUCUCUCGUUUUUCUUUCAGGCUUAGGACGCGCUCUUUC
Molecule: long non-coding RNA, 10228 nt
Filed under: Coffea arabica (coffee)
Lineage: Eukaryota; Viridiplantae; Streptophyta; Magnoliopsida; Gentianales; Rubiaceae
Description: long non-coding RNA (CARA_LNC003584)
Source: RNAcentral